This 432-nucleotide ribosomal RNA is filed under the name uncultured bacterium. Its description in RNAcentral is "partial 16S ribosomal RNA". It matches the Rfam family "Bacterial small subunit ribosomal RNA", at positions 29 to 506 of the family's 1533-position model. The record is from RNAcentral.
AACGAACGCUGGCGGCAUGCCUAACACAUGCAAGUCGAACGAGACCUUCGGGUCUAGUGGCGCACGGGUGCGUAACGCGUGGGAACCUGCCCUUAGGUUCGGAAUAACUCCCCGAAAGGGGUGCUAAUACCGGAUAAUGUCUUCGGACCAAAGAUUUAUCGCCUUUGGAUGGGCCCGCGUUGGAUUAGCUAGUUGGUAGGGUAAAAGCCUACCAAGGCGACGAUCCAUAGCUGGUCUGAGAGGAUGGUCAGACACACUGGGACUGCGACACGGCCCAGACUCCUACGGGAGGCAGCAGUGGGGAAUAUUGGACAAUGGGCGAAAGCCUGAUCCAGCAAUGCCGCGUGAGUGAUGAAGGCCUUAGGGUUGUAAAGCUCUUUUACCCGGGAUGAUAAUGACAGUACCGGGAGAAUAAGCUCCGGCUAACUCCGU